Molecule: non-coding RNA, 764 nt
Organism: Chrysemys picta bellii (western painted turtle)
Lineage: Eukaryota; Metazoa; Chordata; Testudines; Emydidae
Source: RefSeq, a predicted model, not a curated record
GAGAAAACCACAUUUACCAUGUUGGAGGAAAAAGGAUUUCUUAAAAAGCCUGUAAGGAAAGGCUACAAUACAUCCCUGCAGCUAUUUUACAGCUAGACAUAGCUGUGCAAAUGGAUAUAAUGGAGUGAUCUUUAGAAUAUAAACCAUCCAUAACCGGCUGAGGAUUUUGGAAGGCCAGGCCACACCCUAAAGAUCAUAAAACUUCUCAAAUCAGAAGCAGAGAGAACAGAAGCCCAGACAUCCCAGCAGCCAUGGCCUCAGGGACUCCUGUACGGGAAAUCCAAGAGGAAACCAACUGUCCCAUUUGCCUGGAAUAUCUGACAGACCCAGUCACCAUACAGUGCGGGCACAACUUCUGCCAGGUCUGCAUCACUCAGCACUGUGAGACAUGGGCAGAGCUGGACUCUGACCCCUUGUGCUGCCCCAGCUGCAGAGCCCGAAUCCAGAAAGGGGCUCUCCGAAAAAACUAUCAGCUAGCAAAUAUAGUGGAAAAAAUCAAACAAAUAGAUUUCAAACCAGGAAAUGAGAAUCUGUGUGAGAGACAUGGGAAACCCCUGGAUCUGUUCUGUGAAGAGGACGGGGAAGCCGUGUGUGUGGUUUGUUGGAGAUCCUCAGAGCACAGAUCUCACCCGGUGCUUCUCAUAGAGGAGGCUGCCCAGAAAUACAAGGAACAAAUCCAGGCCCAUUUGAAGACUCGGCGGGAAGAGAGAGAAAAGCUUCUGGAAUUUAAAAUGACUGGAGAGAGAAAAAGCCAGGAGUAUCUG